Molecule: transfer RNA, 64 nt
Filed under: Diaphanosoma dubium
Lineage: Eukaryota; Metazoa; Arthropoda; Branchiopoda; Diplostraca; Sididae
Description: tRNA-Met
Source: RNAcentral
GAAAGGAUAAGCUAAAUUAAGCUACUGGGUUCAUACCCCAAUGAUGGAGACACUCCUCUUUUCA